CGCAUGUACGUCCUUCCAUAUAGUUGGCCAAUAAAAGCCGGCUUGUAGGAUUUUAGAGCAGGUCUUGGAUGUACUUGUGUGUCCACCAUAAGGAGCGGAGUGGCAGUGUUGGAUUAUAUUUUCUACCUCUUCUUCGGGUAUACAUCGACGGAAAAUACCAUCGGGGCCCCUUUUGAAAAGUAAGGGAUCAUCCCAGUAAUAGUGUUUUAUAUCGUAGAAGAAUCGUUUCUUCUGCUGGUA
RNAcentral lists this long non-coding RNA (240 nucleotides) under Lathyrus oleraceus (garden pea). RNAcentral's name for it is "Pisum sativum (pea) long non-coding RNA (PSAT_LNC020044)". The record is from RNAcentral. Lineage: Eukaryota; Viridiplantae; Streptophyta; Magnoliopsida; Fabales; Fabaceae.